GCAAUUAUGAGAAGAUGACAAGCACAGGCAGAAAAACGUUUAUUAUAGUUCAUUAUAGUUCAAAAAACCUCACGGGACAGCUGUUUCAUGCUCGCGGGCCACAUCUGUCCCAUGACUUUUGGCAUGGCAGUGUAUAACUUGAGUCCAAAAAAGUAUCCCGUCUCCAAAGUAUAUAGGAUAAAUAUAAAGUAAGAAUAUAAUAAAAUUUCCAAUGUUUCUAUCUUUUCCAGAGGCCCCAAAUAAGUCAAUGUGUGGAAACCCAAGGCAUGAACCAAGAAAAGCAAUUGAGCUCAAAGAAAAGGAAAGCAGCAGAAGAACAUCUCCACCUAAACCUGGGGUUAAUGGCAAAGGUCCUAAGAACUGCAGUAACGACUACAGCAACAGCUUCAUGAAUUCUGAUGACAUUUACGUCAACCAACCACGUUAACAGCUGACCGAGAUUAUAAUUUUGUGCUAUUUAAUGCAAUCAGAAUAUUCAGAUUUUCCAUAAUUUAAUGCAUUUUGUAUUACUGCUUAUAUGCCUCAUUUCCUAUAAUUAAACCUAGUCCUGGAUUACAUUUAUUUUUGCAGAAUCUUUAUGCAGGACACUGUGUAAUCUAGUACUAUGCUUUGACUUAUUUUUGUGAUAUUUGUAAAUGGCUACUUUUUUUAAAAUAAAUGUUCAAACAAAUGCUGAAAUGCUAAAACA
Molecule: long non-coding RNA, 688 nt
Filed under: Astyanax mexicanus (Mexican tetra)
Lineage: Eukaryota; Metazoa; Chordata; Actinopteri; Characiformes; Acestrorhamphidae
Description: lncRNA (ENSAMXG00005005881.1)
Source: RNAcentral